RNAcentral lists this ribosomal RNA (460 nucleotides) under uncultured bacterium. Its description in RNAcentral is "partial 16S ribosomal RNA". It matches the Rfam family "Bacterial small subunit ribosomal RNA", at positions 338 to 795 of the family's 1533-position model. The record is from RNAcentral.
CCUACGGGUGGCUGCAGUGGGGAAUAUUGGUCAAUGGGCGCGAGCCUGACCCAGCCAAGUCGCGUGAGGGAAGACGGUCCUAUGGAUUGUAAACCUCUUUUGUCGGGGAGCAAAAGACGCCACGUGUGGCGUUCCGAGAGUACCCGAAGAAAAAGCAUCGGCUAACUCCGUGCCAGCAGCCGCGGUAAUACGGAGGAUGCGAGCGUUAUCCGGAUUUAUUGGGUUUAAAGGGAGCGUAGGUGGAUUGUUAAGUCAGUUGUGAAAGUUUGCGGCUCAACCGUAAAAUUGCAGUUGAAACUGGCAGUCUUGAGUACAGUAGAGGUGAGCGGAAUUCGUGGUGUAGCGGUGAAAUGCUUAGAUAUCACGAAGAACUCCGAUUGCGAAGGCAGCUCACUGGACUGCAACUGACACUGAUGCUCGAAAGUGUGGGUAUCAAACAGGAUUAGAUACCCCAGUAGUC